GUCCAGACUCCUACGGGAGGCAGCAGUGGGGAAUAUUGCACAAUGGGGGAAACCCUGAUGCAGCAACGCCGCGUGAGUGAGGAAGUAUUUCGGUAUGUAAAGCUCUAUCAGCAGGGAAUAGAAAAGAAGGUACCUGAAAAAGAAGCCCCGGCUAACUACGUGCCAGCAGCCGCGGUAAUACGUAGGGGGCAAGCGUUAUCCGGAUUUACUGGGUGUAAAGGGGGCGCAGACGGCAGCGCAAGCCAGGAGUGAAAGCCCGGGGCCCAACCCCGGGAGUGCUCUUGAAACUGGGCGGCUGGAGUGCAGGAGGGGCAGGCGGAAUUCCUGGUGUAGCGGUGAAAUGCGUAGAUAUCAGGAGGAACACCGGUGGCGAAGGCGGCCUGCUGGA
RNAcentral lists this ribosomal RNA (388 nucleotides) under uncultured bacterium. Its description in RNAcentral is "partial 16S ribosomal RNA". It matches the Rfam family "Bacterial small subunit ribosomal RNA", at positions 329 to 733 of the family's 1533-position model. The record is from RNAcentral.